UACUUAGUGGCGGACGGGUGAGUAACGCGUGGGUAACCUGCCUUACACUGGGGGAUAACACUUAGAAAUAGGUGCUAAUACCGCACAGGCGCACGAAGCUGCAUGGAUUUGUGUGAAAAACUCCGGUGGUGUAAGAUGGACCCGCGUCUGAUUAGCUUGUUGGCGGGGUAACGGCCCACCAAGGCGACGAUCAGUAGCCGGCCUGAGAGGGUGGACGGCCACAUUGGGACUGAGACACGGCCCAAACUCCUACGGAAGGCAGCAG
Molecule: ribosomal RNA, 265 nt
Filed under: uncultured bacterium
Lineage: Bacteria
Description: partial 16S ribosomal RNA
Rfam family: Bacterial small subunit ribosomal RNA
Source: RNAcentral